AUAAAAAAUUAAAAUUUGCAAUUCAUCAACUUACUUAUCAAGUUUUUUCAAUCUCAAAAGUCUCGAAUUGCAAUGUUUUAUUCCUCAAGAAUGCUCUCUGCAGACUGCUUUCCAUCGGCAGAUCAGCUCAGAUAAUUUCGUUGCUUCCACAUUUUCAUUAAAGCAAAGGUAAAAAAAAUUUUACGUUGGCAAUUAAUUGGAGAGAGCAAUAAUGAAAAAAUCAUUAUCAAGUUGAUUUUCGCCGAUAUUGGUGCAAACAUUAGUUAGUACGAGGACAAAUAUUGAAGCAAGAGGUGGAGCCAAUUGAGGGCAGAAAGUAAGGAAGGAAAGGAGUGACAUGUUCUUGUCUCCAUUAAUAUCUGUAUGCUUAUAUAUGCCCAAUCAGUAACGGAAGAUCCGGCCCACAAGCAUGUGCGAGGAGCCAGGGACAGCUUCUGGGAAGUUUCCUCUAUCAAAUUCAAAAUGGAGUUUGUUUCAUGCGAAUUAUGGGGGCAACAGCUAGUCUUUAAUAGUGUUGCUAAAAAACAAGUGACAUCAAUGAUAGGGAAGGGUGAUGCCAAGGGCAGUUUCCGGGAAGUUUCCUCUGCAUCUUUUGAGAAGGGCAAAUCGAAAAUUUUAGCAGAUAUCUCAUUCAUAAAUAGCUUGAAGAUUUAUUUCAUCUAUACAUUUCAUCCAACCUUAAAUGGUGUAGUUGAUGCUCAAGUUAGUUUAGAUUUAGAUAUGAAUGUGGAAUCAAUUAGUCUUGUUAAUUCUACUUAUUAUUAAUUGGCCACAUUAGGUUGGUUUCAGACUUACCUCAAUUCAUUUUUAUAACUUUUUAGACUUUUGUUACUUUUGAUUUAAUGUUGUUUUUUCUUUCAAUUUUUUCUAUUUAUUCGAGUUUAACACUCAUAUACAA
This is a long non-coding RNA of Gossypium arboreum, 898 nucleotides long. RefSeq lists it as uncharacterized. The transcript is spliced from 3 exons. The record is from RefSeq and is a predicted model, not a curated record. NCBI's taxonomy places the organism in Eukaryota, Viridiplantae, Streptophyta, Magnoliopsida, Malvales, Malvaceae.